CGACCUUUCCUAAAAUUCAUUGCGUCUUUUCUUCCUAAAAAUUCAAUUCAACAAUUUUAUUUCCUUUUUUUAUACUGAAAAUCAAAUUGACCAAUCAUGAGAUUCAACAAAGGCAGCAAAGUUGAGGUACUAACCAAGAACGAGGCUCCAACCGGCGCGUGGCGCUGUGCCGAGAUUAUCUCCGGCAACGGCCACACUUACAGCGUGAAGUACGGUUGGCUUCCGAUCACCGUCGAGGCAGCUCCGGUGGAGAGAGUCCCCAGGAAAGCGAUUAGGCAUUGUCCUCCUCCUAUAAACGGGGCCGAUGAUUGGGUUCCCGGCGACGUCGUUGAGGUGUUCGACGAUUUGUGCUGGAAACCGGCGGUGAUCGUUAGAGUUUUCGGUGGAAACAACUUUUCCGUUAGGAUUAUUGGAUCGAGUAGCGUACUCAAUGCACAUCAAUCUCGAUUGCGUGUACGACAAUCUUGGGAAGAUGGCAGAUGGUUCCUUGUUGGAAAGGGCUCGUCGAAUUCGUCUGGACCACCGAAGAGGAAAAGAUCAUUGCUUGGCUUCUCGGAUGCUGGCGGAAAGAAGACGAGGGUGAUUGAAAAAGGUAGUAUUGGUGGUCAAAGACUAAUAGUUCGGCUACCUCGUCCAGCUUCUGAAAAGGUAGAUGCAUUCGUUUCCCCAAAAAAUAUACUGGGUGAAAGAUGUAUGCCUUCUUCAUUUCGUAGAAUUGAUGAUACCAAUGAUACCAUGAGUUGUGCGUCAUCUGUUGGUAGUUGUAGUGGUUUAGGGAAUAAUGGUCUUAACUUGUCUCCUAGUUAUGUAACAAAAAGUUGUGAAAACUUAGAGGUUUACUGUAGUGACGCUGACUCAUAUUCUGAAAGGUGUUGUAGAGAAGAAGGAAUUUCUUUUUCCACUAGUGUGGAAUUGGGAACAGAUUUCCAUAGGUCGGAGCUGCAUGCCUAUCAGAAAGCACUGGGGGCAUUGCAUGCUUCUGGGCCUUUGACUUGGGAAAAAGAAGAAAAGAGUAUCUCAUUGUCACUGUUGGAGGCAUCCAUACAUAGCUUCAAAAGCCAUGAUUGGGUUUAAGUUUGGCACCUCUUGCAGUUGACCCGUGGGCAACAUACAUGGUUUAUUCCCUAAUGGAUCCCUUAAACCCUGCUUUUGAUGGGUACAUAUGAGCCCCGUCAAAGAUCUCCCAGUUUGAAAAUCAUCACCUGUGUUACACAGUAUUACUUGUUUUCUUUUUCAUGGAUUCUGCAUGACGAAAGAUCCAUGCUGUGAUUAAAAUGUUGGUUUUCCUUUAUAAUGUACAGUGCAUGAGAAUAUGCAGGUAACACAUUCUUUUCCCAAAUCAUUAUCAGCGGUUGAUGCUUAGUGGGACAUUUUAGAUCAUGUUUGAGUAGAAGUGGUUUAUCAGAAAUUCAGAUAUUAGAUUCCUAUUUAUUGUCGUUGCAUGCAGUAUGGACUUUGGUUGCUUCAGUUCAUACCCUUCGGUAUUAGGUAGGUUUCUUGUAAUUGGCAAGUUCUGUUUGCUAUUUAUAUUGGAUGCUUUGGCUACCAGUUAACUUCAUGUUUAAGAAAUAUGAAUGCUUUGGCUAAGGUAUGUUUAUCAAAAAGCCUCUUUAUUCUCAUAAUCAUAACAUGCUGUGGUUAAUUGGCCUUCAAUUUAAAUUCGUCCAUGUUUAUUGUUACAUGUGAAACUACAGAUCAUGAGGCAGAGACAUACUGAUAGAGGAACCUUAACGGUUGUUUCUACCGGAGUGGAAUUUCAAUUUGAUACCGAGACUCAUGAAUUCAUGAACCUCUUGAUAUUGGUUUCUUGUGUUGCCUAAUGCCAUUGUUUAAUUCUAAAUGUGGAACAUGUUAAUAUUUUAACAUCAUUUUAAAAAAGGAAAACUGGAAUUUUAUUAUUGUUCAUAGGUUGACCUUGUAAAGUGUACUAAUGACUAGCAUUAAAAUUAUGAUAGUUUUUUAUUGUAGAAACUAUUUUUUUUAAUAAUCUGUUGUGGUUUAUUGUAGUAUAUGUCUUUAUCUUGAUUGGAUAAACUCACGCACAUCUUACAGAUAAACUCAAACUCGGGCGAGUGAGAGGCUCAUGCCAACUGAGACCAUUCCUCAAGGAUCAUUUUUUAAACGGUUGUAAUCACAGGUGAGCAAUUUUCAGACACUAAGCAACUUCACAUCAUCCAACACCAGUCCGCAAAAGAGAACCCGAGUUAUCACUUAGCAUGGUGUGAAAUGUUCUAUAGAAUAUGAUCCGAGUAUGUGUCGACUUUGCCCUGAACUCAAGUCUAGCUGGAGUUGUCAGAAACCUUGGUAGUGUUUCUGCCUUAACUGCUUCUACCUUCGCAUGCAUAAUGAGAGCACAUAGUUUUCUGGCAACCGCACUUUCGUUUCCGGUAAUGUGUUCAAUGGCCCGUUUGCCCUUGGAAAGUGAGAAAUGUUCACUGUCAAUGUACUUGAUUCCUUUCAGCAGCCGGAUAAAGUACUGACCGUCUUCAGUCUGCAGUGGAAUGAUAACACAUUCGGACGUUGGGUUCUGGAAGAUAAAUUUAAUCCCAUAUAAAUAAUAUAAAAU
Molecule: RNA transcript, 2566 nt
Organism: Hibiscus syriacus
Lineage: Eukaryota; Viridiplantae; Streptophyta; Magnoliopsida; Malvales; Malvaceae
Exons: 4
Source: RefSeq, a predicted model, not a curated record